CCCCCCCCCGGGGGGGG
This 17-nucleotide unclassified non-coding RNA is filed under the name Escherichia coli. Its description in RNAcentral is "RNA (5'-R(P*CP*CP*CP*CP*CP*CP*CP*CP*CP*CP*GP*GP*GP*GP*GP*GP*GP*GP*G)-3') from Escherichia coli (PDB 7OG0, chain D)". Lineage: Bacteria; Pseudomonadati; Pseudomonadota; Gammaproteobacteria; Enterobacterales; Enterobacteriaceae. The record is from RNAcentral.